RNAcentral lists this ribosomal RNA (322 nucleotides) under uncultured bacterium. RNAcentral's name for it is "bacterial SSU rRNA". It matches the Rfam family "Bacterial small subunit ribosomal RNA", at positions 151 to 507 of the family's 1533-position model. The record is from RNAcentral.
GGGAAACUGGGAGUAAUACCGUAUGAGCCCGAGGAGGGGAAAGAUUUAUCGGCAAAGGAUCGGCCCGCGUUGGAUUAGGUAGUUGGUGGGUAAUGGCCUACCAAGCCGACGAUCCAUAGCUGGUUUGAGAGGAUGAUCAGCCACACUGGGACUGAGACACGGCCCAGACUCCUACGGGAGGCAGCAGGUGGGGAAUCUUAGACAAUGGGGAAACCCUGAUCUAGCCAUGCCGCGUGAUCGAUGAAGGCCUUAGGGUUGUAAAGAUCUUUCAGGUGGGAAGAUAAUGACUGUACCACCAGAAGAAGCCCCGGCUAACUCCGUG